AGAAUCAACGCUGGCGGCGUGCCUAACACAUGCAAGUCGAACGAGAAAGUGGAGCAAUCCAUGAGUAAAGUGGCGCACGGGUGAGUAACACGUGACUAACCUACCCUUGAGUGGGGGAUAACCUAGGGAAACCUGGGCUAAUACCGCAUAAUACCUUCGGGUCAAAGGAGUAAUUCGCUUUAGGAGGGGGUCGCGGCCGAUUAGUUAGUUGGCGGGGUAAUGGCCCACCAAGACGAUGAUCGGUAUCCGGCCUGAGAGGGCGCACGGACACACUGGAACUGAAACACGGUCCAGACUCCUACGGGAGGCAGCAGUGGGGAAUUUUGCGCAAUGGGGGAAACCCUGACGCAGCAACGCCGCGUGGAGGAUGAAGUCCCUUGGGACGUAAACUCCUUUCGAUCGGGACGAUUAUGACGGUACCGGAAGAAGAAGCCCCGGCUAACUUCGUGCCAGCAGCCGC
RNAcentral lists this ribosomal RNA (460 nucleotides) under uncultured bacterium. RNAcentral describes it as "SSU rRNA". It matches the Rfam family "Bacterial small subunit ribosomal RNA", at positions 26 to 518 of the family's 1533-position model. The record is from RNAcentral.